Molecule: long non-coding RNA, 568 nt
Filed under: Olea europaea subsp. europaea
Lineage: Eukaryota; Viridiplantae; Streptophyta; Magnoliopsida; Lamiales; Oleaceae
Source: RNAcentral
CAUCGCUUGUACAGCACCACAACCACUGUUAAGAACUGCAAAUACAACAAACAAAAAUCAGCCCCAAAAACUUCGGCACCACCAGAUUAAAUUGUUCAGCCACAUCGCCACACCGCAUGGCUACCUAGAACACCACCACACCACUCCAUACCAUCCCAAAAACUUAGAUGCCACCAAAUCGAACUCACACAGCCGUAAUGCCAACACAACACACCGCUACCUAGAUUCACCCCAACACACCACACCACACCUUACCUACCCAAUCCAACGUCGAUUUCGCCUUUGUUUCGCGACGCCAUCGUUCACAACAACAUUGGCCGGCAAAAGCUGAGUGGAGAAGAAACGCGCUCACACUCGUUACCGUCGUGAGCAUAGGAGAUGCAGCACUCACGCUCCUAGGAAUUGUCGCGAUCUGUGUACUGAUGAACCUGAAGAUCUACAUGCAAAGGCGUCGUGAUGGAGUUGCCCAAAGAGACGGCUGCGCUAAUGCCGCGCCUUAACACACCAUUGGUGCCAUGUUGUCGGAGAAGAAAGAGACGGACCAGACAACGGACGGUAUAGAGAGGGA